RNAcentral lists this ribosomal RNA (775 nucleotides) under uncultured Neocallimastigales. RNAcentral's name for it is "partial large subunit ribosomal RNA". It matches the Rfam family "Eukaryotic large subunit ribosomal RNA", at positions 22 to 645 of the family's 3401-position model. The record is from RNAcentral. Lineage: Eukaryota; Fungi; Neocallimastigomycota; Neocallimastigomycetes; Neocallimastigales.
AUAUCAGUCAUGCAUAGCAUAUCAAUAAGCGGAGGAAAAGAAACUAACAAGGAUUCCCCUUAGUAACGGCGAGUGAAGCGGGAAGAGCUCAAAUUUGAAAUCUUCAAGGUUCUACCUUGGCGAAUUGUAGUUUAUGGAAGUGUUUUCUGUUAGUAGAGUGGCAAAAGUUCUUUGGAAUAGGACAUCAUAGAGGGUGAGAAUCCCGUAUUUGGUCAUUCCUUCUAGCGUUGUGAUACACUUUCAACGAGUCGGAUUGUUUGGGAAUGCAGUCCAAAAUGGGUGGUAAAUUUCAUCUAAAGCUAAAUAUUGGCGAGAGACCGAUAGCGAACAAGUACCGUGAGGGAAAGAUGAAAAGAACUUUGAAAAGAGAGUUAAACAGUACGUGAAAUUGUCAAAAGGGAAGCGUUUGACACCAGUGUUGUUUUUCCGAAAAUCAAUUACGAAUGUUUUGUUUUUAAGAAGUUAUGACUUCAUCGGCUUGCUUCUCUCUUUACGAAACUUUCUUAAUGCACUUUUCGGUUAACAAGUCAACAUCAAUUUCUUUUGUUGUAAAAGGGUAUGAGGAAGGUGGCUUUCUUUUCGGAGAAAGUGUUUAUAGCCUUGUACCUCUGCAAUCGGAGAGAUUGAGGUCUGCAGCGUAGAUCCUUCGGGGUUAGAUACAUUUGUGCUAAGUUAUAGCUUUUCAUAGACAACUUGUUGACUAUGUUUAGUCUUGUAGCUUACUCGCUUAUGCUAUUUUACCUACGCUUAGGAUGUUGAUCUCUCACAGUCGAGC